CGAAAAAAAAACGAGCGAUGUGAUUCGAAGAGGCCUCCAAGGAAUGUACACACGUUCACACACCCAAGCACAUACAUCCCGGCAUUCUUAUCCUCCGUGCCACCACCACUAUACUCCUUUGCCUCUGCUCCACCCUCCCCCCCUCACACACACACGCACACACGCACACACAUAUAUAUAUAUAUAUGCGUAGCGGCCUGGGGGCGACGUGCCACGCGCAGGCAGUGAAGUCAUGUGGAGAGAGUGGACAAGUAAGAUCAAAAGCUUUGCCGAGGACAUCGCGUCGCCCGACUACGACGACGAGAGGCGCUCUAGCAACGGCAAAUGUGAAGAUGAAGAGGUGGACGGUAGAGUAGAACACACCCACCACCUGCCCCAUGAUGAGCGCGGCCAUGCGCGUCACAGAGACGACGUGGGCGUGGCACGUGCGACAGCGCAUGCCCAGCACAACAGUGGUGUCAUCUAUGGUGGCGCUGGUAGUGCCUCCGCGCUGGAAACCCCGGCACGGCGCUUGGCCUCGCAGCACAGUGAACUGACGGGGGACCCGCAUGCAGGUGCCUGCGGCAGUGUCGACGCUGCCGCAUAUGCACGGGCGUCCUCGGUUUCGGCAGUAGCGACGCCAUCAUUUCUCUCACUAUCGCCAAGCCCACCUCCCACAGCAGCUGCGGGGACACGUCUUCCCGGUAACGUAGGGCCGCUGACGGCGUCUCAAGAAGCGGCGGCCGUCGCACAGUACAAUGGAGGCGCACAGACGCCGGCUGAAAGUCCAGGCGAUGACACUGUCGGUGCACACUCCUUCUCAUCCUCCGCCAGAGGCGCUCAGGCAGCAUCAGCGAGUACAGCAGGGCGCCGUGGUCCACCGCAGGCAAGAACGACUUCCAGUCCUCAGCCGGACACAUCCCAGCCUUUGCCGGCACAACUCUCAGCACCGCUCUCAUCGCCUUCUGCGGUGCCCAUCUCAUUUGUUCCGCCGGCGAAAUCUGCAGGGGCGGUGCUUCCUGCACCUGCGGUCACUGCAGCCCCGCCGACGCCGCCAACGCAACAGCAGCAUCUACCAGAGAAAUCGCAGAUGCUCGCUCAGCGCGUUGCUGCUCUCGAAGCAGAGAAGGCUCACCUGCGAAGUGACAUAGGCAAGUAUCAAGGCGAAGUACGCGAAAAACACGAGCAAACUGUUCAGUACUACGAAGCGAAGCUGAGGGAGGCCGCAGCGACGGCAGCGGCCACCGCCAGCGCGCCGGAUGCGAACGCGCAGCAGCAAGCAGACCCGCUGCGCGCUGCUCUCCAGGUAGCCGCGGACGAGCUGAAGGGAGAGAGGGCACUCAAAACAGCACUCGAGGGGCGCUUCGGCGAACUGCAGCAGGAGGCUGACGAGCUCCGCGCGAGUCUCGCCGCGGCUCAGAAGGAAGUAGCGGCCAUGACAGCGGCUUCCACUGCAGCAUCAGCACCUUCCGAGACACCCGACACGACCCCGCUACCUGCAGAGAAAGAUUGGGGUUGGCGUCAUUCCGAAGAGCUGAACAGCCUCAAAAACGCAGUGCACGAGAAGACCACGCAGCUAGCGGCACAGACGGCUCAACUGCAGUCCUCGGAGGCAAUUCGCCGUUCCCUGGAAGCUAAGUUGCAGGCGGCUCAGAGGGAAGCGAUGGCGAACAUCACGGACGAUCAUGACAAGAGUGCGGAUGCCGCGCGCGAAGAGCAGCACCGUCAUGCGCACCUUCAAAACGAGGUGGACCGGCUAAAAUGCGAGCUGGUGGCGGAGCGUCAUCGCUCUGCUAUGGCAGAGGCGCUAUUUGAGGAUGCCCAGCGGAAGAAGGAAGGCCACGCCGCGCAGCUCGCACAUGAGCAAGCCAUUUCGACAAGCGUCGCUGCUACUCUAGAGCCGACGAGGAAGUCGGCCUCUGCUUCCGCCGCCACUGCCGCUGCAUCGGCAGCUCACGAAGAAGAGCGGCAGCGACUCGCCGAAAAGCUCGACCACAUGCAAGCGGAGCGCGGCGUGCUGCAGCAAGAGGUGAGGCAGCUCACGGAGGCGGCGAGCCAGCUACAGUGCACGCUCGACACCCGGGAUCACGAGUACGCGGUGGCACAGGCAGAGUGGACCGAAGCCCAGAAGGCUUUGCUGGAGAAGCGAAGCGUUUUCGAGGCUCAGGUGGCGAAAGACCGGGACGCUUACCAAGAAAAGCUACAUCGAUUACAGACGCAGCUGGAAGCGGAGCAGAAGCGUGGCAAGGCGCUGGAGGCUGAUAAGCAGGCCGCAGAGCACGCUCGCACUGCCGCCGAGACGCAAGCGGCAUCAGCGGAGCAGCGAUGUGGUGUCAUGCAAGCGGAACUCGCAGCCCUCCAGCAGCAACUCAAGCGCCUCGAAGAGGCUGAGCAGGAUCGCCAGCAGCAGGAGCGGCAGCGCAUCACUGAGUCGGAGGCAAAGGAAAGUAGCGUCAGCAUGUCUUUGGCGGUCCUGACGCAAGUAAAGAAAGAGCUGGAAGGAAAGGUGCAGACGCUGGAGGUGAUGAUGGAUCAACUGCAGCGCAUGACAGUUGACACGCUGGUGCGCUUAGGCGUGGAUGUGGAGCGCGUGGUAGAGGAAAGCCGUAGGUACGGCGGUGGCACAGAGCGGGAGCCUUCGGGCGGCGACGACGGCGAAGAGGGCAACAGGGAAGGCGAGAAAGGUUGGGCAGCAGCGCGCACGGAAGUGCCGCUCCUGCAGCUCUUUUCAUUGCUGAUGACGGAGUGUCUGCAGCAGCACAGCAUCGUGCUGCGGGCAGAGCGGGUGCAGCAGGAGUGGGAGCAGACCUACGAACAGGCCCGUCGAGUCAAUGACUCGCUCAACCAGCAGAUGGCCGAUGCGUGGAGCGUCAUUGGGAAGCUGCGCGAGGAGUUGUCUCUGAAGGACGAAGCGGCGCGUCAGAUGAAGUCACGCGUGGACAGUGGCGACGCUCGGCUCGUGGAGGUGCAAGAACAGCUGGCCGGCGUCAUGCAUGAGCUGCAAGCGCUGCGCGAGGAGCGUGCGGGCUGGGCAGCGCGGCUGCAGCAGGCUGAGACUGGCGCAGAGGGACAGGCGAGCACUGUGUCCUCCUUGCAAGAGGAACUGAACACGCUACAGGACAUGCUGCAGGCAAAGGAGGAGGAGCUGCAGGCGUCCUUACAAAGCAGCGAAAACCUGCAGCUCGUGCUGGAUCGAAUCCAGGAGAGCAAACGGCAUGAGGUGGAGGCCUUGACGUUGGAGUCUCAGCUCGAGGCAGAGGAGCUCAAGAAGCAGCUGGUAGAGGCGCGGCGAAUCAGAGAUCAGCAUGAGAGCGAGGUGGCAGGUGUGCGCGAAGGCUUUGAGCGGCAGCUCGCAUCGAAAGACGCGGAGGUGACAACGAUGCACCGCAAGCUCGCGGAGAUGCGCAAGGCGCUAGAGAAGACAACGUCGCGGCACAUGGAGGGCUCGGAGGCGAGCAUUGACAAGCGCGUCGUGUCGCAGCUUCUCGCCAAGUACAUGCACGCCUUCCUUGCGCAGCGGAAGGAGGCAGAGGACAUGCUGAAGGUGCUCAGCGGUCUCCUUGACUGGGAUGAGGCAACGCAGGAAUAUGUAGGACUGUUGCCUGGGCCAAACAACCCGCAGCCGCCGGACGGACCUGCCACACAGCGAGGCGGUGCUCGUCGGGGCCUGUUCAGAUGGCUUCGUAGCGGAGGGGCGGAGUCAAAUGAGGCGGGACUGGCGUCCAAGUGGGUCGAGUUUCUGCUAAAGGAAAGCGAGAGCAGCGGAGGCGAUGGCCGUGCAAACCGCAGCGACGUUGGUGCCACGGCGUCCACUUCUGCUUUGUCUACCUUGGCCCCCGUCCAGGGCUCGCAACCCAUCCCCUCAUUGAGCUUCCCAUCACCUUCUCCGGCGGUGGAAACGGCGACAUCGGAGACUGCUGCAAGCCGCCGAUCGAUGUGAGAGGAUCCGCGCAGUUGCUUUCUCCCACGUCCGUCACCGUUAUGGGGGUCUUCGACGGGGGUCCAGUUUGUGCGAACAUCUACGAGCGCCUCUCGCCGAGUGCCGGCGUACGUUUCGCGCGUCAGCUCGCUUCGCCUUGGAGCCGAACGCGCUGGAUCACAUUUCUGUUCUAAGCACGUGGAGUCGUUUUCGCGAAGUACGCGCGCGCGAGCGUUUGUCAUGCACAUGCACACCGACUCUGUUUUAGCUUCGCUCUUCCUUGGAUGCCACCUCACUCCUGGUAUCCUUUCCGCUCUUCUGUUCCCGCAUGACGCGGUGGGAAGGGCACCCCCCUCCCCCUCCCGUGCGCGGUGUCGCACGGUCCAGCGCACUCCCACCCUCUUAUGAGGAUGGGCCAUGCAGCCCCCCACCCCCACCCACCCACUUCCGGUGGCGACGCGCUUAAGCACCGACGACGUGGGAAGAUCAGAGCGGUGUAUCGUUACGGGUGUGCCGGCGGUCAGGUCCUAGUUUGGCGCUGCGUUGGAGCGACCCGCGGCAGCGAACGCGUCUGUGCCAUCCGUGCGUUGGGCAAGCUGUCAGCCUAAACUCGACUUCAUCAAACCCGCCGCUUGCACUGCCUACAGAGUGGAGGAAAACCUGGGUGCCACCCCGAGGGGGAUGCACCGGAUGGCGGCCGGCAUAGUCGGCGCGGCUGUGAGGCGACCCGCGAGGCGUGUGGGUGCGCAGAGUGUGUGGCGCGGGCCGUAAUCAGAUGGCCGAGUCGGCGCAUUUGCGGUAGCGCGCGUGCCUACGGCAGGCUCCGGGUGGUAGUCGUGGUGGGUCGAGUGGCGUUCGGCUCAUGCUUUGGAAACGAAUGCAAACGUCGGGCAGCCAACAGCGAAUAAAGAGUUCCUCUUCUUGGAUCGGCCUCAUCAGCUUGUUUCUUUUCUUCUUCGCUAGCAAGUCCUUGCUGUGGUGUUGCACUGGCUCUGCUCAUUGUGUCUGUGUGUAUGUGUUGUUUGUAUGCAUGCCCGUGCAUGUUUUUGGUUGUCUGUGUGUGUGCGGUCGGCCGCGCAUCUCUUUCUUGGUUCUCGCACUCUCAUACCAGC
This 5010-nucleotide unclassified non-coding RNA is filed under the name Leishmania donovani. RNAcentral's name for it is "gene:LdHU3.33.3950(CDS-product:hypothetical_prote in_conserved)". The record is from RNAcentral. Lineage: Eukaryota; Euglenozoa; Kinetoplastea; Trypanosomatida; Trypanosomatidae.